GACGAACGCUGGCGGCGUGCUUAACACAUGCAAGUCGAACGGAAAGGCCCUGCUUGCAGGGUACUCGAGUGGCGAACGGGUGAGUAACACGUGGGUGAUCUGCCCUGCACUUCGGGAUAAGCCUUGGAAACUGGUUCUACUACCUGAUAGGAGCCAUUUUUAGUGUGAUGGUUGGAAGGUUUUUUCGGUGUAGGAUGAGCUCGCGGCCUAUAGGCUUGUUGGUGGGGUAAUGGCCUACCAAGGCGGCGACGGGUAGCCGGCCUGAGAGGGUGGACGGCCACCUUGGGGCUGAGGUGCGGCACAGACGCCUACGGGAGGCAACAGGGGGGAAUAUUGCACCAUGGGCGCCAGCCUGAUGCAGAGACGCCGCGUGGGGGAUGACGGCCUUCGGGUUGUAAAAUCCUUUCGCUAGGGACGAAGCGUUUUGUGACGGUACCUAGAUAAGAAGCACCGGCUAACUACGUG
This 465-nucleotide ribosomal RNA is filed under the name uncultured bacterium. RNAcentral's name for it is "partial 16S ribosomal RNA". It matches the Rfam family "Bacterial small subunit ribosomal RNA", at positions 28 to 507 of the family's 1533-position model. The record is from RNAcentral.